Molecule: transfer RNA, 83 nt
Filed under: Trichoderma citrinoviride
Lineage: Eukaryota; Fungi; Ascomycota; Sordariomycetes; Hypocreales; Hypocreaceae
Also listed under: 2 other names
Description: tRNA-Thr
Rfam family: tRNA
About the family: Transfer RNA (tRNA) molecules are approximately 80 nucleotides in length. Their secondary structure includes four short double-helical elements and three loops (D, anti-codon, and T loops). Further hydrogen bonds mediate the characteristic L-shaped molecular structure. tRNAs have two regions of fundamental functional importance: the anti-codon, which is responsible for specific mRNA codon recognition, and the 3' end, to which the tRNAs corresponding amino acid is attached (by aminoacyl-tRNA synthetases). tRNAs cope with the degeneracy of the genetic code in two manners: having more than one tRNA (with a specific anti-codon) for a particular amino acid; and 'wobble' base-pairing, i.e. permitting non-standard base-pairing at the 3rd anti-codon position.
Source: RNAcentral
GCCCGCUUGGCUAAGCGGUAUAGCGUGUCACUAGUAUUCUACUUGACAUGACAAGGUGAUCAGUUCGACUCUGAUAGUGGGCA